UGAUUGGCGUUGAAGGAGAAGAGUACUACAAAUCGCCCCACCAGGGAGAAGGUGUCAUGACUGGAAGCACCUUUAGGUGUGCGAUUGUAGGAAGUUCGCUCUGGAGCUGUGCCUCGAACCCAGGUUUGGAUCUGGCAGUAAAGGUGACCGGUUCAUACCGUUAUCGUUGAAGGAGUGGGGCUAUUCCAGGCAUCGGGUGCUUGGAUGGCCCAACCAGGGUGGUACCACGAAUCUCUCGUCCCUCGG
This 246-nucleotide non-coding RNA is filed under the name Marininema halotolerans. RNAcentral's name for it is "T-box sequence". It matches the Rfam family "T-box leader". Rfam says of the family: Uncharged tRNA acts as the effector for transcription antitermination of genes in the T-box leader family. Lineage: Bacteria; Bacillati; Bacillota; Bacilli; Caryophanales; Thermoactinomycetaceae. The record is from RNAcentral.